UACGUAGGGUGCGAGCGUUAAUCGGAAUUACUGGGCGUAAAGCGUGCGCAGGCGGUUCGUUAAGUCAGAUGUGAAAGCCCCGGGCUCAACCUGGGAACUGCAUUUGAAACUGGCGGGCUUGAGUGCGGCAGAGGGGGGUGGAAUUCCGCGUGUAGCAGGGAAAUGCGUAGAGAUGCGGAGGAACACCGAUGGCGAAGGCAGCCCCCUGGGCCGACACUGACGCUCAGGCACGAAAGCGUGGGGAGCAAACAGG
This 253-nucleotide ribosomal RNA is filed under the name uncultured bacterium. RNAcentral describes it as "partial 16S ribosomal RNA". It matches the Rfam family "Bacterial small subunit ribosomal RNA", at positions 524 to 776 of the family's 1533-position model. The record is from RNAcentral.